GAUGAACGCUGGCGGCGUGCCUAACACAUGCAAGUCGAACGAGAUGCGUAUCGGAAAGCUUCGGCCGGAAGAUACGUUAUCUAGUGGCGGACGGGUGAGUAACACGUGGGUAACCUGCCUUAUGGAGGGGGAUAACAGAGAGAAAUCACUGCUAAUACCGCAUAAGCACACAGUACCGCAUGGUACAGGGUGAAAAGAUUUAUCACCAUAAGAUGGACCCGCGUCUGAUUAGCCAGUUGGCAGGGUAAAAGCCUACCAAAGCAACGAUCAGUAGCCGAUCUGAGAGGAUGACCGGCCACAUUGGGACUGAGACACGGCCCAAACUCCUACGGGAGGCAGCAGUGGGGAAUAUUGCACAAUGGGGGAAACCCUGAUGCAGCGACGCCGCGUGAGUGAAGAAGUAUUUCGGUAUGUAAAGCUCUAUCAGCAGGGAAGAUAAUGACAGUACCUGACUAAGAAGCCCCGGCUAGCUACGUGCCAGCAGCCGCGGUAAUACGUAGGGGGCAAGCGUUAUCCGGAUUUACUGGGUGUAAAGGGAGCGUAGACGGAGUGGCAAGUCUGAAGUGAAAACCCUGGGCUUAACCUGGGGACUGCUUUGGAAACUGUUAAUCUAGAGUGUUGGAGAGGGUAAGUGGAAUUCCUGGUGUAGCGGUGAAAUGCGUAGAUAUGAGGAGGAACACCGGAUGCGAAGGCGGCUUACUGGACAAUAACUGACGUUGAGGCUCGAAGCGUGGUGAUCAACAGG
This 745-nucleotide ribosomal RNA is filed under the name uncultured Oribacterium sp. RNAcentral describes it as "bacterial SSU rRNA". It matches the Rfam family "Bacterial small subunit ribosomal RNA", at positions 28 to 775 of the family's 1533-position model. Lineage: Bacteria; Bacillati; Bacillota; Clostridia; Lachnospirales; Lachnospiraceae. The record is from RNAcentral.